CGGUGUAUAGCGCAGUCUGGUAGCGCGAAUGCUUUGGGAGCAUUAGGUCGUUGGUUCGAGUCCAACUACACCGACCA
This 77-nucleotide transfer RNA is filed under the name Cronobacter phage PBES 02. Its description in RNAcentral is "tRNA-Pro". It matches the Rfam family "tRNA". Rfam says of the family: Transfer RNA (tRNA) molecules are approximately 80 nucleotides in length. Their secondary structure includes four short double-helical elements and three loops (D, anti-codon, and T loops). Lineage: Duplodnaviria; Heunggongvirae; Uroviricota; Caudoviricetes. The record is from RNAcentral.